UGCAGAUGAUGUUAUUAAUAUUUGCUAUCUGAACAGCAAUGCUGACAGUCUUCCACCAAGAUCGCUGAUGCA
RNAcentral lists this small nucleolar RNA (72 nucleotides) under Cyprinus carpio carpio. RNAcentral's name for it is "Small nucleolar RNA SNORD24". It matches the Rfam family "Small nucleolar RNA SNORD24". From Rfam's summary of the family: U24 is a member of the C/D class of snoRNA which contain the C (UGAUGA) and D (CUGA) box motifs. Lineage: Eukaryota; Metazoa; Chordata; Actinopteri; Cypriniformes; Cyprinidae. The record is from Rfam by way of RNAcentral.